GGUCGAGUGGCCGAGAGAAUAGGCGAAAGAUUGCAACUCUUUCUACGUUGGUUUAAGUCCAGCCUCGACCU
Molecule: transfer RNA, 71 nt
Filed under: Methylovorus sp. MM2
Lineage: Bacteria; Pseudomonadati; Pseudomonadota; Betaproteobacteria; Nitrosomonadales; Methylophilaceae
Description: Methylovorus sp. MM1 tRNA
Rfam family: tRNA
About the family: Transfer RNA (tRNA) molecules are approximately 80 nucleotides in length. Their secondary structure includes four short double-helical elements and three loops (D, anti-codon, and T loops).
Source: Rfam by way of RNAcentral